Molecule: long non-coding RNA, 2926 nt
Filed under: Hordeum vulgare
Lineage: Eukaryota; Viridiplantae; Streptophyta; Magnoliopsida; Poales; Poaceae
Description: long non-coding RNA (HVUL_LNC009180)
Source: RNAcentral
UGGACAACAAGCUUGUCCAUGAAAGCAGGAGCGAUGUAGAAGCCUCCCAUGGUGUUGUCGAAGUCGUACUUCCGCAGGCCCUGGCUGACGUACUCGUAGGAGCUGAGGACGGCCUCGUGGGUGCCGUCGCCCGUGGGCGCCUGGAAGAGCGAGUCCACGAUGCCCUUCCCUCUGGUGAUGUCCUGCUGGUCGUCGGAGAUAUCGUACGCAAGACCCUUCCACUUGUCGGUGUUCCUCUUCUCGUCGAUGUUCUCCGCUGCCAUGACUGUGAACCUGUUGGCCUUGGAGCUCUUGCCAUGGUAGUUCACGGCCGAGGUCACCUGCUUCUUGAGCUUCUUCCCGAGGAAGUUGGUCGGCGUAGAAGCCUGUAUACAUUACAUUACAUUACAUAUACACACAUGAGAUGCCGCUGAAGACACUGAUAGGAUAUCAUCACUAAGCAAGAGAUGCAAUCAAUCAAUCGAUCGAUCAGUGUGUGGUACGCACCGGAGCCCCGACGGUGGAGGAGAAGGCAGCAGCCAUCUCUGUGCUGCUUGGUCGACCUUGCUAGCAACGGUGGAUGCGCGCGGCUGUGCUGGUGAUCAGUGAUGAAUGACUGCUGCUGCUCAAAGUAUAGAGGCCGAGCUAUGUGACGCCUUAAAUACACGUGGAUUGGCAUAUUGCUGCUCUGCUGUGGGGAGCUUGGAGGAGGAGGCGGCAUACACACACCCCUGCUUGUGGAUCAGCCUCCCGAUCCCCCAGAGGCCACACGCUGGAGAUUGGGUUCUGAGCGUCUUGGCCGGCCGGUUGGAUGACUUGGACCGUCAAGACCAAACGCUGCAGCUGCAGCUGCAGAUACGUCUGCUGGCCAUCAAUUCCAUGGCCUUCCACGGCCACAGAAUCUAACCAUUCAUGCUCAAAUCAUCUCCCAUUUCUUCCGUGCCUUUCAUUUUUUCCUUUCACUCGGUCGCCCGUAUAUACUAUCUUGUUUAUUAGCCAAGCCAUGUCAUUGCAUAACCACAAAAAAAGGGUCUCUCGUUGCUUGUUGGAUGAGGCACCCAAGAUUGUAUUCUAGUUCCAAGUACCACAAAUUUGUUGCUGCCAUACAUAUACUGGUUUGUUGAUAACCAUCAAGCUAGGGAUGUCAUUUGGCACCACACAAAUCAAGUCCUGGUUGACAUCAAGCACAUGGGUUUGUACUUUUGUCUACUCCAAUAAAUAUUGCCACUUCGGUAAAAAAAAAUGAAGCGUAUUAAGAGAAAAGGUAGCCAUGCAGUUUUGCUUUGAUGAAAAGAUUAUAGAACGUGUCUAAUGUUUUCAUGUAAAUGUAAUUCGUGUUGCCUAGCUCAAGUUCCCUGCUGGUAUUCUCAUUGUUUGGGUCUAGUACAGACCAUUAAUUGAUCAUUACGAUGAAUGCGAGCCGUUUGGCUCGCACAAUCUUUGUCCAAUACACCUUCUAGUGAUGUUGUCCUUGUUAAUCAACUUUGUGGUGCAAAUUGGGGUUUCCGUAAUCCGUCAAAGGGAAAAUAUGUAUGUAUGUGAUGAGUCAUGACCCCCCACAUCCACAGUACUCGUACCUAAUCAACAAGCUUCAGAUGAUUUCCACAUAUGUGCUAAUCUUCCGACAAGUGCUAAUAUCAAGAGAUAUAUAGGUUGUUGGGACUUGGGACCCUAGCUUGCAUCCAUUGGAGAAAUGAUUAAGCGGAAAAUGACGAUUUAAGAACAUAUACAAUUCCUUUCUCUUUCAAGAAGAGACUUACAAUUGGGUUACCUGUGCGGCGAUGAAUCAAAAAGUUUGAGUGGAUUUCGGGUCCAAAAUAGUCCAACAUAUAUAUAGUGCAUGCAUGCAUCUUAAGUAGAGUAGGACCUUCUACUUGCCGUAGAAGGCACCGGUCUUCAUGGCGUCGUCGUUGGCUUGGCCGAGCGCCGCCUCGCUGAGGUACUUGUCGGCGAGCUGCACACGCUUGACGUUCUCCUGCUCCUGGACCAGCAUGUGGCCGUACUCCAUGAGCUUCUCUAUGGUCAUCUUGGGCUGGUCGAACGUGGGCGGCCCCUCCCUGGAGUUGACGAGGCGCUUGGAGAUGUUCUCCACGCCGAUCUCGCCGACCCACUUGCGCACCUCGUCGUCGUACACCCGUGCCCGCAGCGCGCCGAAGAAGUCGAUGGACUGCCCCGGGAAGGUGUCCACCAGCCUCACCACGGCCUCGUCCGGGACGUUGUCGGUGCGGAAGAUGCCCUUGCACACGCCGAUGCGGUCCUCGCGGGUGGGCGCCCAGUAGAACUUCUCCAUGCGCCCGUCACGGAUCAGGGGAGCGUACAGCGUCGAGAAGUCGUUGCCGGUGACGAUGAUGGGCACGCGGGGGUUCUCCUCCUUGUUGUACAUCCCCGGGAGCUGCACGUUGGUGGGCGCGUCCGCGAUGUUCAUCAGGGUGGCGUUCACCAUCUGGUUGUUCACCGUGUACUGCGUCGUCCCGCCCAUCCGGCCCGCGCCGGCGUCCAGGUCGUUGAUGAAGAGGCAGCACAUCUUGCCCUUGUUGAUAAUGUCGGCCGCCUCGCGGUACCUCUGCCGGAUCAGCUUGGCCGGCUCGCCGGCGUUGCCGCUCUCCAGCUCACCGGCGCUCAUCAUGAUGGGGUUGAUGCCCAUCUUGGCGAACACCAGCUCACACUGGAACGACUUGCCCUGUCCCUUGCCUCCCCAGAUACCCAGGAUGAGAGGAACCUUGAUGUUGGGGAGUGUCAUGAAGUUCUUGGCGAGGUGGACGAUGAGCUUGUCCAUGAAUGCCGGCGCGAUGUACAGCCCGUCCAUGGUGUUGUCGAAGUCGUACUUCCGCAGGCCCUGGCUGAUGUACUCGUAGGAGCUUAGGAUGGCCUCGUGGGUGCCGUCGCCCAUGGGGGCCUGGAACAGGGAGUCCACGAUGCCUUUCCCCCGAGUGAUGUCCUGCUGGUC